This 1343-nucleotide ribosomal RNA is filed under the name uncultured bacterium. Its description in RNAcentral is "16S ribosomal RNA". It matches the Rfam family "Bacterial small subunit ribosomal RNA", at positions 28 to 1378 of the family's 1533-position model. The record is from RNAcentral.
GACGAACGCUGGCGGCGUGCUUAACACAUGCAAGUCGAACGGAAAGGCCCUGCUUUUGUGGGGUGCUCGAGUGGCGAACGGGUGAGUAACACGUGAGUAACCUGCCCUUGACUUUGGGAUAACUUCAGGAAACUGGGGCUAAUACCGGAUAGGAGCUCCUGCUGCAUGGUGGGGGUUGGAAAGUUUCGGCGGUUGGGGAUGGACUCGCGGCUUAUCAGCUUGUUGGUGGGGUAGUGGCUUACCAAGGCUUUGACGGGUAGCCGGCCUGAGAGGGUGACCGGCCACAUUGGGACUGAGAUACGGCCCAGACUCCUACGGGAGGCAGCAGUGGGGAAUAUUGCACAAUGGGCGGAAGCCUGAUGCAGCAACGCCGCGUGCGGGAUGACGGCCUUCGGGUUGUAAACCGCUUUCGCCUGUGACGAAGCGUGAGUGACGGUAAUGGGUAAAGAAGCACCGGCUAACUACGUGCCAGCAGCCGCGGUGAUACGUAGGGUGCGAGCGUUGUCCGGAUCUAUUGGGCGUAAAGGGCUCGUAGGUGGUUGAUCGCGUCGGAAGUGUAAUCUUGGGGCUUAACCCUGAGCGUGCUUUCGAUACGGGUUGACUUGAGGAAGGUAGGGGAGAAUGGAAUUCCUGGUGGAGCGGUGGAAUGCGCAGAUAUCAGGAGGAACACCAGUGGCGAAGGCGGUUCUCUGGGCCUUUCCUGACGCUGAGGAGCGAAAGCGUGGGGAGCGAACAGGCUUAGAUACCCUGGUAGUCCACGCUGUAAACGGUGGGUACUAGGUGUGGGGUCCAUUCCACGGGUUCCGUGCCGUAGCUAACGCUUUAAGUACCCCGCCUGGGGAGUACGGCCGCAAGGCUAAAACUCAAAGGAAUUGACGGGGCCCCGCACAAGCGGCGGAGCAUGCGGAUUAAUUCGAUGCAACGCGUAGAACCUUACCUGGGUUUGACAUGGAUCGGGAGCGCUCAGAGAUGGGUGUGCCUCUUUUGGGGUCGGUUCACAGGUGGUGCAUGGCUGUCGUCAGCUCGUGUCGUGAGAUGUUGGGUUAAGUCCCGCAACGAGCGCAACCCUUGUUCACUGUUGCCAGCACGUUAUGGUGGGGACUCAGUGGAGACCGCCGGGGUCAACUCGGAGGAAGGUGGGGAUGACGUCAAGUCAUCAUGCCCCUUAUGUCCAGGGCUUCACGCAUGCUACAAUGGCUGGUACAGAGAGUGGCGAGCCUGUGAGGGUGAGCGAAUCUCGGAAAGCCGGUCUCAGUUCGGAUUGGGGUCUGCAACUCGACCUCAUGAAGUCGGAGUCGCUAGUAAUCGCAGAUCAGCAACGCUGCGGUGAAUACGUUCCCGGG